CAGCAGCCGCGGGAAUACGGAGGGUGCAAGCGUUAAUCGGAAUUACUGGGCGUAAAGCGUGCGUAGGCGGUUCGUUAAGUCUGUUGUGAAAGCCCCGGGCUCAACCUGGGAAUGGCAAUGGAUACUGGCGAGCUAGAGUGUGUCAGAGGAUGGUGGAAUUCCCGGUGUAGCGGUGAAAUGCGUAGAGAUCGGGAGGAACAUCAGUGGCGAAGGCGGCCCCCUGGGCCAAUACUGACGCUCAUGCACGAAAGCGUGGGGAGCAAACAGGAUUAGAUACCCCCGUAGUCCCUGUCUCUAUACC
RNAcentral lists this ribosomal RNA (301 nucleotides) under uncultured bacterium. RNAcentral describes it as "partial 16S ribosomal RNA". It matches the Rfam family "Bacterial small subunit ribosomal RNA", at positions 509 to 808 of the family's 1533-position model. The record is from RNAcentral.